AACGAACGCUGGCGGCAUGCCUAACACAUGCAAGUCGAACGAGACCUUCGGGUCUAGUGGCGCACGGGUGCGUAACGCGUGGGAACCUGCCCUUAGGUUCGGAAUAACUCCCCGAAAGGGGUGCUAAUACCGGUUAAUGUCUUCGGACCUAAGAUUUAUCGCCAUUGGAUGGGCCCGCGUUGGAUUAGCUAGUUGGUAGGGUACAAGCCUACCAAAGCGACGAUGCAUAGCUGGUCUGAGAGGAUGACCAACCACACUGGGAAUGAGACACGGCCCAGACCGCUACGGGAGGGAGCAGUGGGGAAUAUUGGACAAGGGGCGAAAGCGUGGUACAGCAAUGCCGGGUGAGUGAGGAAGGCCUUAGGGUUGUAAAGCUCUUUUACACGGGAUGAUAAUGACAGUACCGGGAGAAUAAGCACCGGCUAACUCCGUG
Molecule: ribosomal RNA, 433 nt
Filed under: uncultured bacterium
Lineage: Bacteria
Description: partial 16S ribosomal RNA
Rfam family: Bacterial small subunit ribosomal RNA
Source: RNAcentral